CAAUAAGCGGAAAAGAAAAUAACCAUGAUUCCCUUAGUAACGGCGAGUGAACAGGGAAAAGCCCAAAUUUGUAAUCUGGCACUUUUUACAAGUGUCCGAGUUGUAAUUUGUAGAACUGUUAUCCGUGCUGGACCAUGUACAAGUCUGUUGAAAAGCAGCAUCAUUGAAGGUGAAAAUCCUGUAGAUGAUAUGGACUACCAGUGCAUUUGUGAUACGGUUUCUAAGAGUCGAGUUGUUUGGGAAUGCAGCUCAAAGUGGGUGGUAAAUUCCAUCUAAGGCUAAAUAUAAGUGAGAGACCGAUAGCAAACAAGUACCGUGAGGGAAAGAUGAAAAGAACUUUGAAAAUAGAGUUAACAGUACGUGAAAUUGCUGAAAGGGAAACGUUUGAAGUUAGUUUUGUAUUCGUUGGAUCAGCUUCGCAAGGAGUGUAUUCUGAUGAUAAGCAAGUCAACAUCAAUCUAUGAGUGUCGGAGAAGGGUUUUGAGAAUGUAGCAAUUUUUAUUAAUUGUGUUAUAGCUUGAGACUUGGAUACGAUGCUUUGGAUUGAGGAACGCGUAGUAAGCUUUGAGCGGAUCGAAAGGAUCUCCUACUAUGGAGUAG
RNAcentral lists this ribosomal RNA (600 nucleotides) under Melampsora laricis-populina. Its description in RNAcentral is "Melampsora larici-populina partial large subunit ribosomal RNA". It matches the Rfam family "Eukaryotic large subunit ribosomal RNA", at positions 44 to 634 of the family's 3401-position model. Lineage: Eukaryota; Fungi; Basidiomycota; Pucciniomycetes; Pucciniales; Melampsoraceae. The record is from RNAcentral.